This 530-nucleotide ribosomal RNA is filed under the name Bifidobacterium longum subsp. suillum. Its description in RNAcentral is "bacterial SSU rRNA". It matches the Rfam family "Bacterial small subunit ribosomal RNA", at positions 162 to 706 of the family's 1533-position model. The record is from RNAcentral. Lineage: Bacteria; Bacillati; Actinomycetota; Actinomycetes; Bifidobacteriales; Bifidobacteriaceae.
GGUAAUGCCGGAUGCUCCAGUUGAUCGCAUGGUCUUCUGGGAAAGCUUUCGCGGUAUGGGAUGGGGUCGCGUCCUAUCAGCUUGACGGCGGGGUAACGGCCCACCGUGGCUUCGACGGGUAGCCGGCCUGAGAGGGCGACCGGCCACAUUGGGACUGAGAUACGGCCCAGACUCCUACGGGAGGCAGCAGUGGGGAAUAUUGCACAAUGGGCGCAAGCCUGAUGCAGCGACGCCGCGUGAGGGAUGGAGGCCUUCGGGUUGUAAACCUCUUUUAUCGGGGAGCAAGCGAGAGUGAGUUUACCCGUUGAAUAAGCACCGGCUAACUACGUGCCAGCAGCCGCGGUAAUACGUAGGGUGCAAGCGUUAUCCGGAAUUAUUGGGCGUAAAGGGCUCGUAGGCGGUUCGUCGCGUCCGGUGUGAAAGUCCAUCGCUUAACGGUGGAUCCGCGCCGGGUACGGGCGGGCUUGAGUGCGGUAGGGGAGACUGGAAUUCCCGGUGUAACGGUGGAAUGUGUAGAUAUCGGAAAAGAA